AUUGAACGCUGGCGGCAUGCCUUACACAUGCAAGUCGAACGGUAACAGGUUAAGCUGACGAGUGGCGAACGGGUGAGUAAUGUAUCGGAACGUGCCCAGUCGUGGGGGAUAACUGCUCGAAAGAGCAGCUAAUACCGCAUACGACCUGAGGGUGAAAGCGGGGGAUCGCAAGACCUCGCGCGAUUGGAGCGGCCGAUAUCAGAUUAGGUAGUUGGUGAGGUAAAGGCUCACCAAGCCGACGAUCUGUAGCUGGUCUGAGAGGACGACCAGCCACACUGGGACUGAGACAAGGCCCAGACUCCUACGGGAGGCAGCAGUGGGGAAUUUUGGACAAUGGGCGCAAGCCUGAUCCAGCCAUGCCGCGUGCGGGAAGAAGGCCUUCGGGUUGUAAACCGCUUUUGUCAGGGAAGAAAAGGUUCUGGCUAAUACCUGGGACUCAUGACGGUACCUGAAGAAUAAGCACCGGCUAACUACGUG
This 477-nucleotide ribosomal RNA is filed under the name uncultured bacterium. RNAcentral describes it as "partial 16S ribosomal RNA". It matches the Rfam family "Bacterial small subunit ribosomal RNA", at positions 30 to 507 of the family's 1533-position model. The record is from RNAcentral.